Molecule: transfer RNA, 69 nt
Filed under: Gibbium aequinoctiale
Lineage: Eukaryota; Metazoa; Arthropoda; Insecta; Coleoptera; Ptinidae
Description: tRNA-Met
Source: RNAcentral
AAAAUAGUAAGCUAAAAAAAUAAAGCUUAUGGGUUCAUACCCCAUCUAUGGAAAAAAAUCCCUAUUUUA